This 388-nucleotide ribosomal RNA is filed under the name uncultured bacterium. Its description in RNAcentral is "bacterial SSU rRNA". It matches the Rfam family "Bacterial small subunit ribosomal RNA", at positions 28 to 417 of the family's 1533-position model. The record is from RNAcentral.
GACGAACGCUGGCGGCGUGCUUAACACAUGCAAGUCGAGCGGUAAGGCCCUUUCGGGGGUACACGAGCGGCGAACGGGUGAGUAACACGUGGGUGACCUGCCCUCAGCUCUGGGAUAAGCCUGGGAAACUGGGUCUAAUACUGGAUAUGACUCCACGGUGCAUGUCGUGGGGUGGAAAGCCUUGUGCGGCUGAGGAUGGGCCCGCGGCCUAUCAGCUUGUUGGUGGGGUGANGGCCUACCAAGGCGACGACGGGUAGCCGGCCUGAGAGGGCGACCGGCCACACUGGGACUGAGACACGGCCCAGACUCCUACGGGAGGCAGCAGUGGGGAAUAUUGCACAAUGGGCGAAAGCCUGAUGCAGCGGCGCCGCGUGAGGGAUGACGGCCU